AAGGUUUCUAAACUUUGAUUUUUGAUAUUGAACAAGUUAUUCUUGUAUUUAACUUGUUGUUUAGCAUGCCCAAAUAUAUUUGAAUAGUUUUAUCGUUCAUAUUGCCAUGCAUGCUUAGUAUUCAAUUCUAAAUAACCUUGGCUUAAUAUUGUUCAAGCAAGGUGUAUUAUAGUUAUUCAAGUUGUAUGCUAUUAGAUUAUUCCUAAAGCAUGAAUUUAAUUUACCAUGUUGAUUCAGUUACAAUUAUUCUAUAGUAUGAUGUUAUUGGUUUCAUUCAACUAAUCCUUAGUUGAUGUUCAUUGAAUUCCAAAUUACCCUGAAAUGUAUCCAAACCAAACUCACUUUGGUGCGGACUUCUACUCUAAAUACUGAGAUGAACAACCCUAUUAUUAGGGGAAACUUACGCUUAGCAUUGAAAUGUUUGUGCACAAUACAUUGUACGAAGGGCUGAUCCCCCUAAAUACGAGGAGUUCCUAUAGUCUUAUGACUGUUAAAGUUUAAGUUGAAACAUUACUUAUAAUUAUGGACAUAGUUCGUGGUCUUAGGACCCUCAGUUAUUUACUUCAGAUUGUUGACAAAUCGUAAUUGUUUAAAUCUAUUAAGCCUCUUAGUUAACAUUUGUUGUAAAGGUUUUUCAUUCAUUAUUGUAUCAAGUGAGCUUUGUUUGCUCACUCUUGUUUAUAUAAUUAUUACAAUUAAGGAUGAGAAGGUUAAUGUACCUAGCACCAGCAAGGGAAAAGGAAAGAUGAACAAGUAUUGAAGACUUGUAAUUUGAUGAUAUUUUAUUAUCAGUUUUUAAUGGAAUGGUUGUAAUAAAGAUUUUUUUUUCCGCAUUUGAAUGAUUGUGUUUAAAGGUUAGACAACCUGGGAGAUUUUUUUUAUGUAACCCUUUAAGGGGAAGGUUUUAUUUAUCCAGUUUUACUGUGAUUGGGUAGUUAGAUAUGAAUGUUUGAUUAAGUGAACACCAAAUCCUAUGGAAAUGAAGUACCUGGGUUUGGGGGUGUCACAAGUUGGUAUCAAAGCCUUAGGUUAUGAACCUUAGGUGGGGGAAAAGGCUUAGGAAGUAACCUUCGAAAAGAUAGUGAUGAUGAACUCUUAUCGAGUUUUAAGAAAGAAGUAAUAAAACACUUAUGUGCUUAUGUGUUUACAACUUAUGUGCUCAUGAGUGUCGAGUAGUAAUGAUUAGUAAUUAAAACUUAAACUUUGGUUGACAAGAUGUCUAAUAUAGGAGGAUCCAGUCAAACUAGGGAAGAAGAGCCUCGAGAUAUUCAGGUAGUUUGGGAACAAUUAUGGCCAUGGGAAACAGUUCCGUUGGUCACAGUAGUUAAGUAGGAGAGAGUACCUGAUGAGGAUGAUGAGAUAGAGAAUGAUGAGGAAGAUCCCUUGGAGCUGCCACAGACGGAUGAAGAGGACGAGGAGGAAAGGAUUCCAUUUAACUUAAUAGCUGGCCGUAUAUACGAUGAGGUGCAUGAUCGUAACGUGGAACUUCAAGAUACUGUUGAGGAAUUGCAAGAGAUAGUAGCUGAACAACAAAACUCAAUGGCACAGAAGGACGACGAGAUCCAGGAUCGAGAAGAACGACUGAACAAUGUUGAAGAGAAACUGGUUCACACUAAAGAAGAAAACGACCAAAUGAGAGCAGAGAUUGUAGAGUUGAAGAGCAAGUUGAGAGAAGAGUUUGCAAAAAGGGAAAGAGCCGAAGACGCAUAUGAGGAAGCUGAUCAACGAGCCGAAAUAGCAGAGGGAGACACACAAGCAAAGAGAAUGAAGACGCAGGAAAUGGAUAACGUAUUCAACAUCGCGAUCAAUCAAGCUCAGGAUCGGGUUAUAGGUUACCCAAUUCAGUUCGAGACGCUACCCUCGUACAUACUAGAUCGUCGAACCAUGUUCUGAAUUAUGGAAGAAGAGCGUCGUAAGGCUUUGCAGUAUCUUAAUAGGACAUCGUAGGAAGUGUACUUGAUUUAUGAUUUAUGUUAUGAUAAGUAUUAUGUAAAUCCCCAGUGUUAUGUAACUUGUGGAUAUGAUGAUGAUGUCCUGAAACUUUAGUAGUUCAGGAAAAUAAUGUAAAUAGCAGUGAUGUUAUUGUUUUGAUGUUUUCAAAGAAUUAAGAAUGAAUAAAAGUUAUUAUCUUCUUUUAUCCAAAGUGUUAUGUGUUAUGUGGUGAUUACUUUUUUGGGGGCAAGUUAAUUAGAAAUUACUUGAAAGAGUUGAGUAAUAAUCUAAUGAGUGUAUUUUUAGCAUAAAAUGCCUCCAAGAUGUCAACCACCCCGUCAGAGAACCACCGAAGGAACCAACAAUGAUAAUGUUGAAGCUAACCCUGUUUAGCAGCUGGUGACGUUGUUGACAGGUGCACUACAGAAUCAAUCGCAAAAUCAACCUCAGAACCAAGGUGCUACGUUUAAGGACUUCAAGGCGGUUGGACCACCAGAAUUCCGUGGAUCCAUGAAUCCAGUUGAAGCACAAACCUGGAUCAUGGAAAUUGAGAAGGUUUUUGAUGUUGCUAGGGUAGAGGAUAACAAAAAGACUGCUUUUGCAAUAUUCAUGUUGAAAGCAGAGGCUAGUUAUUGGUGGCAGGCCAAUAAAACUCGGGAAGGACCAGGAAUUAUGACUUGGGAAAGGUUUAAGGAGAUUUUCUUCGAGACCUAUUUCCCAGAGAGUUCGAAAAGCCAGUUAGAAGUACAGGUUUUAGAACUGAAAUAAGGAACGAUGACGAUGUCAGAGUAUGCCGCGAAAUUCAACGAGUUUGAGAGGUUUGCGCCAUACCAAGUCAGCACAGAUGAACGUAAGGCAAAGAGAUUUGAACAGGGACUGAAGCCCUGGUUGUUUAGUAGGGUUUCCUUGUUCUAGCUGAAGACGUUUGCAGCUGUGAUGGAAAAGGCAAGGCUGUAACCAAGUUUAACCAGGAACCAAAAAAGAAGAAGAAUGAAGUGGAGGUUAAGAAUGGAAGUGGUGGUAAUGGAAAUAAUAAUCUGAAAAGAAAGUGGAAUGGAAAUGUGGGUACUGGGAAUCAACAAGGGAGCCAGCAGAGUAAGAAUUUUGAAGCAUAUGCUACAUGUGGGAAGUUUCACAAGGGUGUAUGCUUAAUGGGGAAACGUGUAUGCUUUAACUGUGGCCAGGAGGGUCACAUCGCCCCAAAUUGCAAUCAACCUAAGAAGAAUGUUUGCUACACUUACGGGUCCAAGGAUCACUUUGCUCGUGAAUUCCCUAAGAAGAGAUCUGGUGAGGCAAAUGGAAAUAAGGGAAGUGUUAGUGGAGGUGCGCUGACUAUUGCUGGGCCAGCAUCAACCAAUAAGCCCAUAGCCAGAACCUUCAACAUGACUGUGCAAGAUGUUGUGCAAUCAAAGGAUGUGGUGUUAGGUAUUAUCCCAAUCAAUGAUAUUGAUGCUUAUAUAUUAUUUGAUUCGGGUGCUACUUGCUCAUUUAUAUCUUAUGAAUUUGCUAUGAGAUUAGGAUUGCCUAGUGAAGAAUUGAAUUUCCCUUUAAACAUAGAAAUUGCUAAUAAGGAAGUAAUUCAUGUUAGGUUCGUAUACAAGAACUGUAGGGUGAAUAUUAAGGGAAAUAUUUUGAUGGUAGAUUUAAUUCCGAUUAGGCUUGGAGAGUUUGAUGUUAUUUUGGGAAUGGAUUGGUUGUUCAAUUGUGGAGCGAUAAUUGACUACCAAAAGAAAUGUGUAAACCUUAUGACUCCGUCAAAGGUAGUUUUCAAUGGUAGCAAAUUGCCUAGACAAAUGAGAUGUCUGACGAUUAUGCAGGCCAAGAAAUUGUUGAGUCAAGGCUGUGUGGGUUAUUUAGCUUACAUAGUCGAUACUCAGAAGAAAGGUGCGAAACUAGAAGAAAUAACCAGUGGUUAGGGAAUUUGUGGAUGUGUUUCUGGAGGAUUUGCUUGGACUUCCACCUGACAGAGAAAUUGAGUUUGUGAUUGACUUAACGCCAGGAACCGCUCCGAUAUCGAAAGCCCCAUACAGAAUGGCUCCAGUAGAGAUGAAGGAAUUGAUGGUACAACUGUAGGAGUUGUUGGACAAGAAAUACAUUCAGCCGAGUGUGUCACCGUGGAGAGCACCGGUGUUAUUCGUAAAGAAGAAGGAUGGGUUAAUGCGUCUUUGCAUUGAUUAUAGGGAGUUAAACAAAGUCACUAUUAAGAAUAAAUAUCCAUUGCCGAGAAUAGAUGACUUGUUUGAUCAAUUGAAGGGUACUAGAUAUUUCUCAAAGAUAAAUUUGAGAAGUGGGUAUCACCAAUUGAAGGUAAGAAAGGAGGAUGUACUGAAGACUGCAUUCUGAACUCGGUAUGGACAUUACGAGUUUUUGGUGACGUCUUUUGGUUUGAUAAACGCCCCUGCAGCGUUCAUGGAUUUGAUGAACAGGGUGUUUAAACCAUUUUUAGACAAGUUUAUGGUGGUGUUUAUUGACGAUAUUCUGGUGUACUCUAGAAAUUAAGAAGAACACAUGGAACACUUAUGUUUAACGCUGGAGACACUAAGAAAGGAAAAGUUGUAUGCAAAAUUCUCUAAAUGCGAAUUCUGGUUAGAACGUGUACAAUUUCUUGGGCACGUAAUCGACAAGGAUGGAAUUUCAGUGGAUCCAUCAAAAGUCGAAGCUGUGAUAAAUUAGGAACAACCAAGAACUCCAUCAGAAGUAAGAAGUUUCUUGGGAUUGGCAGGGUAUUAUAGAUGGUUUAUUCAGGAUUUCUCCAAGAUUGCCACUCCGUUGACAAAUUUGACGAGGAAAUCUGUAAAAUUUGUUUGGACGGAGAAGUGUGAAGGAAGUUUCCAGGAAUUGAAAAAGAAGCUAAGUAUGGCACCUGUGUUAUCAUUACCAUAUAAUACAGGAAAUUUUGUGGUGUACAGUGAUGCUUCACACAAAGGAUUAGGAUGUGUCCUUAUGCAGAACGGGAAAGUCAUCGCGUAUGCAUCAAGGCAAUUGAAAGACUACCAUAAAGGGUAUCCGACUCAUGAUUUAGAGUUGGCGGCAGUUGUGUUCACACUGAAGAUAUGGAGACACUAUCUCUAUGGAGAGAAAUGUGAGAUUUACACGGACCAUAAAAGUCUGAAGUAUAUUUUCACUCAAAAAGACCUAAACAUGCGUCAAAGUAGAUGGAUGGAAUUGAUAAAAGAUUACGAUUGCGAGAUCUUUUAUCAUCCAGGCAAAGCAAACGUGGUUGCAGAUGCCUUGAGUAGGAAAGGCAGGGAAAAGUUAAUGUUGUUAACUGAUAAGGAGGAGCUUAUUACAGCAAUGUCAAGGUUAGAGUUGGAAAUCAAAUUUCCAAAAGAAUUCGAUGAAAAAUUAUACCAGAUGGAAGCCAGUCGAACUUUGGUGGACAAAGUGAAGAACGCUCAACUACAGGAUGAGGAAUGCAGAAAAAUAAGAGAAAGUGUGGUCGAGGGAAAGGAAGUGAAGUACAAGGUUGAUACUGAUGGAAUGCUGAGAUUCGAGGGACGAAUCUGGGUUCCAGUAGUACCAGACAUUAAAGAGGACAUCUUGACAGAAGCUCAUAGUUCAAGAUAUUUGAUUCAUUCAGGAAGUACGAAAAUGUAUCAAGAUUUGCGGCGACAUUUUUGGUGGCCAAAUAUGAAAAGAGACGUUGCAGAAUGCGUUGCAAAGUGCUUGACAUGUCAGAGAGUCAAGGCCGAGCAUCAAAGAUCAAGCGGAUUACUUCAACCAUUAGAGAUACCAGAAUGGAAAUGGAAACAUAUCACAAUGGAUUUUGUGGUAGGUCUCCCAUCGACUCAUAAAGGAUACGAUGCAAUUUGGGUGAUAGUGGACAGAUUGACAAAAUCUGCACACUUUUUGCCAAUAAAGAUUAAAUUCAAUCUUGAUCAGCUGGCAAAACUAUAUGUUAAAGAAAUCGUGACGAGACAUGGAGUUCCAGUGUCGAUUGUGUCAGAUAGAGAUCCGAGGUUCACAUCAAACUUCUGGAAGAGACUAUAAGAAUAUAUGGGAACACAAUUGCGAAUAAGUACGGCAUAUCAUCCGCAAACAGAUGGCCAAAGCGAACGAACGAUUCAGACAUUAGAAGAUAUGGUGAGAGCAUGCGUCAUGGAUUUCAAAGGAAGCUGGGAUGAACAAUUACCAUUGGUGGAAUUUGCCUACAAUAACAGUUACCACGCUAGCAUCGGCAUGCCGCCUUACAAAGCAUUAUACGGCAGGAGGUGCAGAACUCCACUGUGCUGGGAUGAAGUCGGUGAACGUCAACUGUUAGGACCAGAACUGGUACAACAAACUGCUGAGGUUGUUAAACUCAUCAGAACAAGAUUGAUAGCUGCUCAAGACAGACAAAAGAAAAAUGUUGAUCAACACAGACAAGAUCGUGCAUUCGACGUAGAAAAUUACGUUUUUAUAAAAGUUUUACCUUGGAAGGGAAAAAUUCGAUUUGGUAAAAAGGGAAAAUUAAGCCCGAGAUUUAUUGGACCCUUCGAAGUGCUACAAAAAGUUGGAGAGGUGGCUAGCUUACGAGGUAGCUCUACCUCCAGAAUUGCAAAACAUUCAUAAUGUUUUUCACGUUUCAGUGUUACGACCAUAUAAGUCUGAUUACAAGCACGUGAUCGAGUAUGAACCAUUGCAGUUUGAGAAAGACUUGUCCUAUGAAGAGGUUCCUAUCCAGAUAGUUGACAGGAAAGAACAAGUGCUCAGAAAUAAAGUGAUACCUUCUGUGAAGGUAAUAUGGAGGAACCACAAUGUCGAAGAGGCUACAUGGGAACUCGAAGCUGAAAUGAUGAAGAAUUACCUUGAGUUAUUUGUUUAAUCUAUGUCUUCGAUUCUGGGGACAGAAUAUUUGUAAGUAGGGGAGAAUGUGACGAAUGAAUUGUUUGAAUUGUAAUUCUAGGGAUAGAAUCCUUGUAAGGAGGGAAUGAUGUAACAUUCCAGAAUUUUAAUUGUUAUAUUAUAUAUUUAUUGAAUUAUUUAAGUAUUUAAUGGAUGUGUUUAUGGUUGAAUUUAUAAUUAUUCAAAUUUGAUUCAAUUUGGUUAACUAUAUGUUAAAUAAAUAAUUAAGGAAAUUAUUAUAUUUGCUAAUUUAAUUUAAUUAUUAAGUUAGAGAGUUUUGAUUAAUUAAAUUAUUAUUCUUUUUAUUUGAAUUUUGUAAUUAAAAGGAUGUGUUAGUUGGUUAAAUAAAGUUAUAAUUAUAUAGAAAAUUAUAAUUUUAUGGUAUUGAUUUAUGUGAUGUAGUAAUUUAAUAAAUUGUUAUUAAGAUUAAUUUAAUUUAGUAAAUGUGUGACAAAUAACCUUUUAUAAAGGAGUUAUUAAAAUAACUUAAAGGAGUUUUAAUUCAGUUUUGCCAAACAAGGCCUAAUGUCUUUUAAGUCUUUAAUCUAAUUGUGUUUUACCAAACAAGGCGUAAGGAUUAAUUGAUUAUUUUUGUUAGUGGUUAGCCAAAUAAGCCUUAUGACUUUUGGUUUUCAAAAUAAAAUAACUGAUAUCAGUUAAAUUAGAGUUAUAUUAUAUAAUUAAUAUAUAUUAUAUCCUAUAUACGUUAGAUUGUUAGUACGUAGUUAGAGUUAGGAAGAAAAGAGAAAAACUCAGAGGAAGAAGAAGGAAGAAGAAGAAGAAAAGAAUAAAAGAAGAAAGGCUAGGAGAUUGGAGAAAGAAGUUUGAGAAUUAAAGAUAUAGCCAUCAUCAUCAUCAUCAUCUUCUUCAAGGUAUUAACCUAUUCUUUUAGUUUUAAAAUUUUAGUUUCUCUCUUCCCAAAUUCUCUAUAGAAUCCUUGUGUAAGGGUAAAUUAGUUGUUAUGUAUGCGAUUUUAUAUGAUAAUCUAGUGAGUUAAACUAUUUUCUUAAGCUAUGAUUGAGAAUAGUCCAUGAAUUUAUAUUAUGUAUAUGUUUGUGAAGAAAAGUAUUUUUACAGAGAGUUUUUGUGAUUAUAUAUUGUUUAGUUAAAAUAGAAAUUAUUGGUUGUUUAGUUGUUUUAUUUAUAAAUUGGCUAUUCAAUUUGUUAGAGUAUGUAUAUACUUUGAUAAAAUGCUUUAAAUUAACUGUUUUGGUUGAAAAACAAAAUCACAGUAUUGAUUUUCAUCAAAAACAUCAAAAAGUGAUUUUUUUAUCAAAAAUAGUGAAAUUGGAUGUUUUAAACUUGUUGUUUAUGUUGUUGUAUGGAUAGAAACAUGUUAGGAAUUCUUCAAUUAGGUUUACAUGAAGUCUUUGUAUGAUUUACAUGUGAAUUCGGCUGUUAAAAAGGAACUUUUAGGCCAAAAUUGGCUUUUUCUUAUACUUGUUGUUUAAUCUCACGCUGCAGCGCUGGCGCCACGCCACAGCACGACCUUUUAGUUUUAUUUUCGCGCCGAUGCGCCAUCUCCGCGCCGCAGUGCCGCACUACAGUAUAAACUGUGGCGCCGCAGCGCGAGUUAGCAGAAUGGUCUGACAGUGUAUUUUUUUUAUGUACUCAAAUGUUAAGAAAUUGUUAUGUGAUGAUAGUAGGACUAUAAAAUAUUGAUGUCAGUAUUUCUAUACUAUGAAUAACUAUGUUAUUAACAAUUGACUUGUGUUAUAACUUGAUUAUAUGAUUAAAUAAUCAAACCUAUAUAAUGUAUGUAGUUAGUUAAAUUUGUAAAGUAGUAGUGACUAACUAUGUCAUGAUGACAUAUAUAUAUAUAUAUAUAUAUAUAUAGGGUAUUGUGAUCCGAAUUGAUUCGGUUUAGCCUACGCGCAAGACAAGUUUUCUAAUCCUUUAUCUUGUUGAACUAAUUAUGGUUUCCAAUUCGAUUAUCUUAUAAAUGAUGCAAGUUCUCUAAUCUAUUUUAAUGUUGAAUCAAUUAUUGUUCCCAAUAUAAUAAUGCAAGGUUUUUAAACUUUGAUUUUUGAUAUUUAACAAGUUAUUCUUGUAUUUAACUUGUUGUUUAGCAUGCCCAAGUAUAUUUGAAUAGUUUUAUCGUUCAUAUUACCAUGCAUGCUUAGUAUUCAAUUCUAAAUAACCUUGGCUUAAUAUUGUUCAAGCAAGGUGUAUUAUAGUUAUUCAAGUUGUAUGCUAUUAGAUUAUUCCUAAAGCAUGACUUUAAUUUACCAUGUUGAUUCAGUUACGAUUAUUCUAUAGUAUGAUGUUAUUGGUUUCAUUCAACUAAUCCUUAGUUGAUGUUCAUUGAAUUCCAAAUUACCCUGAAAUGUAUCCAAACCAAACUCACUUUGGUGCGGACUUGUACUCUAAAUACUGAGAUGAACAACCCUAUUAUUAGGGGUAACUUACGCUUAGCGUUGAAAUGUUUGUGCACAAUACAUUGUACGAAGGGCUGAUCCCCCUAAGUACGAGGAGUCCCU
Molecule: long non-coding RNA, 9236 nt
Filed under: Panax ginseng (ginseng)
Lineage: Eukaryota; Viridiplantae; Streptophyta; Magnoliopsida; Apiales; Araliaceae
Description: long non-coding RNA (PGIN_LNC010635)
Source: RNAcentral